Molecule: long non-coding RNA, 849 nt
Filed under: Hordeum vulgare
Lineage: Eukaryota; Viridiplantae; Streptophyta; Magnoliopsida; Poales; Poaceae
Description: long non-coding RNA (HVUL_LNC013664)
Source: RNAcentral
CACGGCAGAAUAGAGACUUGUGGCGGCAAAAAAAAAGUGUUUCGGGGGGCUCUCUAGGAUUUUUGGCAUUUAUUAGAAUUUGUAGGACAAAGAGGGGCACCGGAGGCCAAGGGAGGUUGCCCCAAGCCAUCAUGGCGUGACUACCCCCUCGACGCACCUUGUUGGCUUGGGGCCAUCCCGUGUGGCCUCCUACCUCCUUCCAAAUCUUUCGGGUCCUUAUUUUGUCCAGAAAAGAAACGUUACUUCUUUUGGGGUAUUUGGACUUCGUUUGGUACAGUAUUCCUGAAAAGCUAAAAACAUGGAAAAAACAACAACUCACAGUUGGCACUGGGUUAAUAGGUUAGUGCUUAAAAAUAAUAUAAAAUAACAAGUAAAUGCCUAAAAAGUAUUUCAGAAUAAUAAUAUAAUAGCAUGGAACAAUCAAAGAUUAUAUAUACGCUCGAGACGUAUCAACGCGUUAGUACACUUAAAUAUAGACCUCUCCACAACAUACAUUAUAACAAUCACCUUAAUAGUAGUCUAUACACAUAUGACUAGGUAUUCUUUCUAGAAACUUAUAGAGCACAAAUCGAUUUGCUGGCAAUGAUCAUAUAUCUUAUUCUGAGUGAUCAUAUUUGUCUGAAAGUUUAAAGUGGUUUUAGUAAUAAGUUGAUGUGUGCAUGCAUCAUCUGUACUUUAUUAAACCAACAACAAUUAUUCUAACAACGUCUACUACCGUAAAAAUUACAUGGAUUGUAAUACUUGUGCAUACACACGAUUUGAUGUGCUUGGUAAGUAUUAUCUGGUGUAAACAAGCAUCCUUAAUGUGUCAUACACAUAUGACUAAUCACCUAGAUACACUACUUAGUG